Molecule: transfer RNA, 75 nt
Filed under: Anaerolactibacter massiliensis
Lineage: Bacteria; Bacillati; Bacillota; Erysipelotrichia; Erysipelotrichales; Erysipelotrichaceae
Also listed under: 5 other names
Description: tRNA-Gln
Rfam family: tRNA
About the family: Transfer RNA (tRNA) molecules are approximately 80 nucleotides in length. Their secondary structure includes four short double-helical elements and three loops (D, anti-codon, and T loops).
Source: RNAcentral
UGGGGUGUAGCCAAGAGGUAAGGCAAGGGACUUUGACUCCCUCAUGCGCGAGUUCGAACCUCGCCACCCCAGCCA